GAGAGAUGGCUGAGUGGUCGAAGGCGGCGGUCUCGAAAAUCGCUAUAUCCUUACGGGUAUCGAGGGUUCGAAUCCCUCUCUCUCC
This 85-nucleotide transfer RNA is filed under the name uncultured Victivallis sp. It matches the Rfam family "tRNA". Rfam says of the family: Transfer RNA (tRNA) molecules are approximately 80 nucleotides in length. Their secondary structure includes four short double-helical elements and three loops (D, anti-codon, and T loops). Further hydrogen bonds mediate the characteristic L-shaped molecular structure. tRNAs have two regions of fundamental functional importance: the anti-codon, which is responsible for specific mRNA codon recognition, and the 3' end, to which the tRNAs corresponding amino acid is attached (by aminoacyl-tRNA synthetases). tRNAs cope with the degeneracy of the genetic code in two manners: having more than one tRNA (with a specific anti-codon) for a particular amino acid; and 'wobble' base-pairing, i.e. permitting non-standard base-pairing at the 3rd anti-codon position. The record is from RNAcentral. Lineage: Bacteria; Pseudomonadati; Lentisphaerota; Lentisphaeria; Victivallales; Victivallaceae.